Molecule: unclassified non-coding RNA, 3889 nt
Filed under: Daphnia pulex (common water flea)
Lineage: Eukaryota; Metazoa; Arthropoda; Branchiopoda; Diplostraca; Daphniidae
Description: meiotic recombination protein SPO11-like, transcript variant X2
Source: RNAcentral
UGUUCGAGCCGCGAAAUUAGUUAUGCACGUGAUUGACAACGUGUUCCUCCUAUUAAAAAACAAGUUUUUUCCCUUUUUUCCAACCUUUCACUAAUGUUGGUUAUUCUGUCUGGUUUGAUCGAUUAAAAUCUUGAUUUUGUUUAUCAUUUGACUCGCCCUAAAACGUGUGUUGGCUGUCAUGAGUGUGUCUGUUGAACAUUGUCUCGAAACCAGUUUUAAUUGAGUGACAAACAAGGCAAUAGUUUCGUCUCUAAUAAACCAGUUACAGCAAAUAUGACGACUCUACAGGAAAUAUUCGAAAUUCUUAAAGAUCUCAAGCAAAACUUGAUAACUGUUCAUGGACCCAAUCCAGUUUUCCCACACCCAAACAAGGAGGAAACCCUGGCCCGAAUAGAGGAUUACAUUAUCCUUGUUGUGGCAGCCAUAAGUCGAGGGGAUUGGCCGUUGCAGUUGCCGAUUCACGGCAGUGACGAGAUGAUGACCUGGAAAUUGGCCAAACAACGACGUAAAUGCUUGCUUCUAUUCCACCUACUAGCCAAGUCCCAUGCACUUUUGCGAACCAACACCACAUCCACCAAACGGGAUAUCUACUACGAAGACGUCUCGUUAUGGGGGAGCCAACCGGUACUGGACAGCAUGGUAACCCAGAUGACAAAACUGCUGAAUAUUCCUCGAUGCUGUCUCAAUAUUGGUGCCACUUCUAAAGGAUUGGUGGCAGGUUCUCUCAACUUUCUCGAUGGCGAUGGCAAGCUCAUUGAUUGCCAAACACCAACUGGGAUUUUGAUACCAAACGAUGUCGAAAAACUUUCUCAAUUCCGGUCCAAAGCUCACCUCGUUUUGGUGGUGGAAAAAGACAGUACGUUCCAGAAACUGAUUGACGAUAAGAUCGAACGCUUCAUCGGUGACUGCAUCCUCAUUACGGGAAAAGGUUAUCCGGACGUCAACACUCGCCGCUUCUUGCGUCGCUUGUGGGAUGAGCUGCAACUUCCCCCUUUGGCGUUAGUGGAUGCAGAUCCUCACGGCAUCUCCAUUCUCGCUGUGUAUCGAUUCGGAAGUCAAAAUUUGGAAGACAUUGAACACUUGUCCACGCCUCAACUGAGAUAUAUCGGUCUUCAGCCAAGCGAUAUUGAAGCUUUGCAGAUUCCCGACGAGGCCAAAUUGCCACUAACCCAACGCGAUCGAUCCCUUGUCGACACCCUGGCCAGCCGUCCCUUUAUAACUCAAAAUCAACUUCUCCACGAUCAGCACGCUAGGAAUAACCCAGCAAAUAACUCAGAUCUGAGUGCUGCUGCAUGUUGCAUGGAAAUGAGGUGAUAGACUCUUGUGCGAACGGGAGCACUUUUGCGGCGCUGGCUGGAAAAGCGCAAGGAUUUCCAGGAGGAUACCAUUUGAAGAGGGUGGUGGUGGGGAGAGAGAGGUAGGAGCGACGCUUGCGCAUUUGCCCGGUCAAAAGGAAGUGUAACGCAAAAAGAAGCGGCCAACUCCCGAAGAACCCCCUCUGUGUACUACGCGACGGGACCUCUAUAAACAGCCCUCGUUUGUCGGCUUCCAGUCGAGAGAGGAAGCUGAGCGCCAUGCAGCACUACCAUGACAUCUCCUCCGACAUUCUCGGCCGUUACUCUCAGAGCCCACGCAAAAGCGACAGUGUCUGUCACGCCGAGUGCGCCGAGUCAUCAAAAUCCAAUAGGCCACAGCAUCCGUUGGCGAGGAAAUCCGCAGGAUCAACAAGUGCCAACCGCUUCGCUGCUGGACACACGGGAGUCGCGCCGCCCUUUCUUUUUUGAAUUGUUGCUUCGCAUGUCGCCGGAAUAAAAAAGAAGAAGAAGAGGCGACUGUCUUGUUCAAUUCCCAUCUUUGAGCAACCGGUUAUAUACAUCUCCGUGUGCUGCGCCAGUGUGUGUGUGUGUAUUUUGGAUCGUGUGUGGAAAGUGUGAGCUCCUAGUCUCAACUUGACGCUCAAUAGUUUGUGGAUCUUCACACGCUCUCCCAUGAGUGCCUCGGGGAAGAGCCAUUCUAUAAGCGGCUAGUGAACAAAAAGGAAAAAAAAAGUUUCAGCAACUCUUUAUCUUCUUCUCUUGUCGAUCCCAGGCGGCAUUUUUUCAAAAAAAUUCAAACCGGAUAAUACGCACAAAGGCGUGAAGGAAAAACAGGAGCGGAAACAAUUUGGUCGAUCCCGGUGGAUCGGGUUUGGAUGAAAAACGUUUUGCGGAAGGAGGAAGUUUGAAGUUAUGAAUCAACUGCGUCAUGGAUGAUCAAGGCGGCACUAUUCAAAUUGUCGUGACGCCCAAUUGUCCGGCGACGGAGAGUUUGCUGGACGGCGGUCAAGAGAAUGCGGACCCUAAUCAAGAAAGUUCGCCGUGCUUACUGGAUCCGACCGCCACUGCGGCUGUAUCAACCGACUGCAGCCGAUCCGUCAUCAGCCACGGGUCCAGCAACAUCAGUUACCAGCAGCGACAACGCCGGGCUCAGUGGAAAGGCAUCGGAACCACUUGCAUGUGGAACGCCUUUCGGGCCAGCUUCUUUGGUCUCCUUUUGCUGGUCUCCGGAUGCAUCGUCGUCCUUGUCGGAUUCUACUCGGAGUUUCCUUCGAUCGAAAUCGCCGUCAACUUUAACCAAACCGUUUCCUUGGUCGAUCCAGAGUCGCAGAAACGUCGAGUCAAGUCCUCCUAUUCCUACAUUGGACCUGUUCUCAUCGGAAUCGGCGUUUUCGUGCUGAUUGGUGUGGGCGUGGCCACGAUGGAGAUGCGAGACAUGACAGCCAAAGUGUUCCCGCUGACGAAACGGCCCUACAAGAAAACCAAGUUGACUUCGGAGGCGCUCGGCACCAUGUUCCAAACUCCAACGCAGCGGAUCAUGAAAGAAAUGAGCGCCAAAGAUAAACGACCGGAACGUCAAACGAGCUUCCGCACUGUUGCAACGCAGACAUUUCGAACUCGCCUGUGGCCUUGGUCAAGGCUCAGGCCGUCGUCGGGUCGUUUCGUGUUUCACGGCAGAAUUGUUUUGAGGUCCUGCCAUCAACUUUCCACGCCCAAAAGCCAACAGAGUGUCAUCCUUCCACAGACUUCCAUCUGCAAACGUGGGCGUCGAUCCCGCUGUCGGCGUCGACGAAUGUUGCUGAUCCACUCCAUGGCGGCCGACUCGCUGUCCGCUUCUUGUCCCCAGCUCGACACUGUUAGCUAAUCAGAGUAAUCACUCUGUGCUGGACUGGAAUGGACUAUACUAAUUGUUGUUGUUGCUGCUACUACUGCCCGUCUGUUCCUGCUGCUCUUGUUUGUUGACUGUCGCCAUUAUAGCUCAAUAUCAGCCUGUCCAGACAUUUUUGGACGGUCAGCGCGUCUCUUUUAGCCUACGCCAUUCCUCUCGCAUAACUAUAAAGACUGGGCUAUAGACUUAUACUACGUACAUUGGAUCUCCAUCGCUUUUUUUAUGUCUUUCCUAUAUAAGAAUAGCUGAUGAUGCCGAGAUGUUCCAGGAAUAGAGAGCGCGACUCUCAUUCCAAAUUUGAUUUAUAUUUUUUAAUCAAGAGAAAGCUCCUCGGUGACGACCUCUCCCUCGCCGCCGGACGACAAUGCAAAUAAACAAAAGUCAACAGAAGCUGAAGAACAAAAGGAAAAUUUGUCGGACAGCAAAUUUUUUUUCUCUCCCCCCACAAGCGCAAGUGAACUGGACUUAAUAAAAGACUUGAGCCAAAAGAGUACAGCAUUCCUCACGUGCUGGCUCAGCGCCUUUCGACUCCGCCAUAUUUUUGUUUACUUUUUUUUUACAAAACCGGCAAAAUGUUUCUUCUUGUAGAAUCUAGACGGAAUUUUAUUUUGUAAACAGCCAAAAUCUGGCUUAACGUCGUGGUACGUAUCAUGGUCGAUCAAUAAACUGGGAUUGACGGACGGAA